This 429-nucleotide ribosomal RNA is filed under the name Chloroflexota bacterium. RNAcentral describes it as "Chloroflexi bacterium partial 16S ribosomal RNA". It matches the Rfam family "Bacterial small subunit ribosomal RNA", at positions 355 to 776 of the family's 1533-position model. The record is from RNAcentral. Lineage: Bacteria; Bacillati; Chloroflexota.
UGGGGAAUAUUGCACAAUGGGCGCAAGCCUGAUGCAGCGAUGCCGCGUGUAUGAAGAAGGCCUUCGGGUUGUAAAGUACUUUCAGUCGGGAGGAAGGUGAUAAGGUUAAUAACCUUAUCAAUUGAGGCUACCGACAUAAGAAGCACCGGCUAACGCCGUGCCAGCAGCCGCGGUAAUACGGAGGGUGCAAGCGUUACUCGGAAUUACUGGGCGUAAAGCGCACGCAGGCGGUUGAUUGAGUCAGAUGUGAAAUCCCCGGGCUUAACCCGGGAAUUGCAUUUGAUACUGGUCAGCUAGAGUCUUUUAGAGGUGAGUAGAAUUCCAUGUGUAGCGGUGAAAUGCGUAGAGAUGUGGAGGAAUACCAGUGGCGAAGGCGACCCCCUGGACAAAGACUGACGCUCAGGUGCGAAAGCGUGGGGAGCAAACAGG